UAGCUUAGUCGGUAGAGUGUAAGGCUUUUAACUUUGAGAUUGUGGGUUCAAGCCCCAU
This 58-nucleotide transfer RNA is filed under the name Zea mays. It matches the Rfam family "tRNA", at positions 8 to 63 of the family's 71-position model. From Rfam's summary of the family: Transfer RNA (tRNA) molecules are approximately 80 nucleotides in length. Their secondary structure includes four short double-helical elements and three loops (D, anti-codon, and T loops). The record is from Rfam by way of RNAcentral. Lineage: Eukaryota; Viridiplantae; Streptophyta; Magnoliopsida; Poales; Poaceae.